AGCAUCCGCGGUAAUUCCAGCUCCAAUAGCGUAUAUUAAAGUUGUUGUGGUUAAAAAGCUCGUAGUUGAACCUUGGGCCUGGCUGGCCGGUCCGCCUCACCGCGUGUACUGGUCCGGCCGGGCCUUUCCCUCUGUGGAACCCCAUGCCCUUCACUGGGUGUGGCGGGGAAACAGGACUUUUACUGUGAAAAAAUUAGAGUGCUCCAGGCAGGCCUAUGCUCGAAUACAUUAGCAUGGAAUAAUAGAAUAGGACGUGUGGUUCUAUUUUGUUGGUUUCUAGGACCGCCGUAAUGAUUAAUAGGGACAGUCGGGGGCAUCAGUAUUCAAUUGUCAGAGGUGAAAUUCUUGGAUUUAUUGAAGACUAACUACUGCGAAAAGCAUUUGCCAAGGAUGUUUUCAUUAAUCAGGAACGAAAGUUAGGGGAUCGAAGACGAUCAGAUACCGUCGUAGUCUUAACCAUAAACUAUGCCGACUAGGGAUCGGACGGUGUUAUUUUUGUACCC
RNAcentral lists this ribosomal RNA (503 nucleotides) under uncultured Paraglomus. RNAcentral describes it as "SSU rRNA". It matches the Rfam family "Eukaryotic small subunit ribosomal RNA", at positions 569 to 1076 of the family's 1831-position model. Lineage: Eukaryota; Fungi; Glomeromycota; Glomeromycetes; Paraglomerales; Paraglomeraceae. The record is from RNAcentral.